Papaver somniferum (opium poppy) is the source of this 1333-nucleotide long non-coding RNA. RefSeq lists it as uncharacterized. Lineage: Eukaryota; Viridiplantae; Streptophyta; Magnoliopsida; Ranunculales; Papaveraceae. The transcript has 3 exons. The record is from RefSeq and is a predicted model, not a curated record.
AAUUUCCCUUCACGACCAACUACCUAAUUCCAUUUCUCUUCAUUACUCCUACCGACAUCACCAUCAACAACUUCUCCUUCCUCAUCUUCCAUCAAUUAAUCUCCCCCCAUAACCACUCAAGGAUCAUCUAUCUCUCUCUCUUACAAUCACAUUGUCAAUAAUAAAAUCUAGCCAAAACUAGGUUUGCGGGAGCUAUAUAUAGCUGCUACACCAUCAGAAGAGGAGACAAGCAUUUAGUUGACGCUGCAAGUAGUAUGCAGAAGGGGGGAAAUGGCACAGAAACAUUUAUGGUAGCAAAAUUGUCGUCGAGUGUACACGUGCCACUUACAGGUAGAGAGAAAAGAUUAAAGGAUUGGUGGGGCAGAAAAUGCUAAACGUGGGACAGAUGCAAAGGCAAAAAAACUCGGACAGAUGCGGGACUGAGAAAAAGGGAGAGAAAAAGCAACGUGGCGCCCAUCCGUGCUUCACGCCAAAAGCACCCCAUGCUAAUCCAAGGUCCAGGGAAUGCCACCUCUUUUCCCGCAUCUGUCCAACGUUUUUUGUCCUGCGUCUAGCGGCUCCAGUUGGGGAGAUUGUUUUCACUUUCUUUAGAAUUCAUCCUAGUGUUAAUCUCUGAGGCAAACUAAAUCAUUCGCAGAUACUCGCCUCAUCUACUCUCUAAGCUGGAGGGACUGUCUUAAUCAGUCUCCCCAACCUGCUGCGGUGAGCACUAAUAAGGCCGGCUCUACAUUCGAGCACAAGGUUCUAGUUGUUGGAUAUCUAGAGAUGCAAGUUCUUGUGUAGAAAUGGCGGAAACCAUGGAGAAUAUUGCAAAUUUAGCUUGCCCUAUUGUAGUACAGAACGUGCUCCAAAGAUGACGUGCUCCCUGUCUAAUCCAAUUCUUUAACCAAUGGUAACCUAGCUUGAAGAAUUUAUAAGUUGGUAUAAAAUGAAGAAAAUGGAAUCUCCUCAAUUGGUCUUGUUACACGAUCUACCUCGGAAACACACCAUCGGGUGCGGAAAGUCAUGUGGAGACGACUCAUUAAAUUGUUGCAGAAGGGGGUAUGAAGAUGAGAUAAGAUUUCAAUACAUUGAUGGUGAGUUGGUCCUACUUGAUAUCAUUUUCGCAUACCCUCUCUCCAUUUUCUGUUACUUUCCUACGGACCUUACCUACCUCUCUCUCUCCUUCUCUCCUUACUUGCAAGACGAAACUAGUAUGACGUGUAUGUAAUGGUGUGUUUACUAUUUUCAUGAUCUCUCCAUAGAACUGCAUUACAACAUUUUUGUUUAACUUCCUUUACUGUCAGAAAUGGUGGUCCUUAUUGAAGAUUUAGUAUUGGACUUUUAUAGUACA